RNAcentral lists this ribosomal RNA (429 nucleotides) under Chloroflexota bacterium. Its description in RNAcentral is "Chloroflexi bacterium partial 16S ribosomal RNA". It matches the Rfam family "Bacterial small subunit ribosomal RNA", at positions 355 to 776 of the family's 1533-position model. Lineage: Bacteria; Bacillati; Chloroflexota. The record is from RNAcentral.
UGGGGAAUAUUGCACAAUGGGCGCAAGCCUAAUGCAGCCAUGCCGCGUGUAUGAAGAAGGCCUUCGGGUUGUAAAGUACUUUCAGCGGGGAGGAAGGGAGUAAAGUUAAUACCUUUGCUCAUUGACGUUACCCGCAGAAGAAGCACCGGCUAACUCCGUGCCAGCAGCCGCGGUAAUACGGAGGGUGCAAGCGUUAAUCGGAAUUACUGGGCGUAAAGCGCACGCAGGCGGUUUGUUAAGUCAGAUGUGAAAUCCUCGGGCUCAACCUGGGAAAUGCAUCUGAUACUGGGAAGAUUGAGUAUCGUAGAGGGGGGUAGAAUUCCAGGUGUAACGGUGAAAUGCGUAAAGGUCUGGAGGAAAAACGGUGGCGAAGGCGGCCCCCUGGACGAAGACUGACGCUCAGGUGCGAAAGCGUGGGGAGCAAAAAGG